This 1175-nucleotide long non-coding RNA is filed under the name Homo sapiens (human). RNAcentral's name for it is "non-protein coding lnc-POTEC-10:1". Lineage: Eukaryota; Metazoa; Chordata; Mammalia; Primates; Hominidae. The record is from RNAcentral.
GUGCUGCCCUUGGAAGUGGAUGGGGAUGAUGGCCCCUGUGGGGUGGGUGGCCCAGAACACAGCAGCUCUUCACAGUCUCAUCAGCAGCAGCAGAGAGCCCCCUGUCACCUGAGGGCCUCAGGGAGAGGCAGGGGAGCCAGGCUUCUCACCUGCCUUCUGCCUUCCAGCUUCCUGGAGAUGAUGGAGGCUCACAGUCAUGGCCAUGCGUCCCCACUGGCGGCCAAGGGGCAGAGUCCAUCCUCAGGCUCCCAGUCACCAGUGGUGCCUCCAGGCGCCGUGUCCACAGGGAGCUCUAGCCCCGGCACACCCCAGCCUGCCCCACAGCUGCCCCUCAAUGCUGCCCCACCAUCCUCUGUGACCCCUGUACCACCCUCAGAGGCCCUGCCCCCACCUGCGUGCCCCUCAGCCCCCGCCCCACGGCGUAGCAUCAUCUCUAGGCUGUUUGGGACGUCACCUGCCUCCGAGGCAGCCCCUCCACCUCCAGAGCCAGUCCCAGCCGCAGAGGCCCCAGCAACAGUCCAGAGUGUGGAGGACUUUGUUCCCGAUGACCGCCUGGACCGCAGCUUCCUGGAAGACACAACCCCCGCCAGGGACGAGAAGAAGGUGGGGGCCAAGGCUGCCCAGCAGGACAGCGACUCGGGGAGGGGCCCUGGGCGGCAACCCGAUGGUGGCAGGGUUCCAGGACGAUGUGGACCUCAAAGACCAGCCACGUGGGAGUCCCCCGCCGCCCGCGGGCCCUGUCCCCAGUCAAGACAUCACUCUUUCAAGUGAGGAGGAAGCAGAAGUGGCGGAUCCCCCAAAAGGCCCUGCCCCAGCUCCCCAGCAGUGCUCAGAGCCAGAGACCAAGUGGUCCUCCAUACCAGCUUCGAAGCCACAGAGGGGGACAGCUCCCAUGAGGGCUGCAGCACCCCCCUGACCAGGUGGUGCCUCUGUUGGCACAGGUCUGGAGAAGUGCAGCAGCACCAGGCCCCCUGCUGAGAUUGAGCCAGGGAAGGGUGAGCAGGCCUCCUCGUCCGAGAGUGACCCCGAGGGGCCCAUCACUGCACAAAUGCUGUCCUUCGUCAUGGAUGACCCCGACUUUGAGAGCGAGGCAUCAGACACACAGUGCAGGGCAGUAAGAUGAGUCCUCCCGGCGCAGAGGUCAGCCAGGAGGCCAGGGUCCCUCCCGCAGGCCU